RNAcentral lists this long non-coding RNA (755 nucleotides) under Ananas comosus (pineapple). Its description in RNAcentral is "long non-coding RNA (ACOM_LNC009295)". Lineage: Eukaryota; Viridiplantae; Streptophyta; Magnoliopsida; Poales; Bromeliaceae. The record is from RNAcentral.
UUUUUAUAAUUAUUAUCAUUAUAAUUAUUAGGUCUUUUUGUAUAAAAAAUUCACUUAUUUUGGAUUUUUAAAAAAUCGGGUCAUCUUUUUUAUUUUUGCAGAUUCGGUCCGCUUUUUCAGCAAACUGACCAAAAUAUCCUUAUUACUUUUUCUCUUUCCUCUUUCUCUCUCCUCUUCGUUUCUGUCGUUCUUUUUUUUUUUUUUCUCGCCGAAAAAAAAAGGCGGACCGUCGCCUUCUUCUUCACCGUCGCCUCCCUCCUCACCAUCCUUCUUCACCGUCGCCCCCCUCCUCACCCUCCUCCUCACCCUCCUCUCCACCGCUCGCGGACCGUCGCCUUCUUAUUGUUGCACUGUUUCUUCUCUUUAAAGAGGAGAAACAGUGCAACAAGAGGAGAAACAGUAUAAAUAUUUCUUAAAUAGGUGCAGUUUAAGAUAAAAAAUAGUGUAAUAAGAGGAGAAAUGAUGCAACAAGAGGAGAAACUGUGCAACAAGAGGAGAAACAGUGCAACUUUCAUUUAAAGAGUGUAAUUUUUAUCUUAGUGGGUGCAGUUUAUAUCUGAAAGAGUGCAAUAAGAAGAGAAACAGUAUAAAUAUCUUUCAAAGAGUGUAAUUUUUAUUUAAAAAGUGUAAUUUUUAUUUUAAAGCUGCAGUUUACAUCUUAAGUAGUGCAACUUGUAAUUUUUUUGUAGUUAACGAUACAAUUUCAUCUUCAUCCUUUUUUUUAUAUAAUUCUUUAUCUUUAUUUUUUUUCUGUU